RNAcentral lists this ribosomal RNA (500 nucleotides) under uncultured bacterium. RNAcentral describes it as "bacterial SSU rRNA". It matches the Rfam family "Bacterial small subunit ribosomal RNA", at positions 64 to 547 of the family's 1533-position model. The record is from RNAcentral.
GAACGCUGAAGAGAGGAGCUUGCUCUUCUUGGAUGAGUUGCGAACGGGUGAGUAACGCGUAGGUAACCUGCCUUGUAGCGGGGGAUAACUAUUGGAAACGAUAGCUAAUACCGCAUAACAAUGGAUGACACAUGUCAUUUAUUUGAAAGGGGCAAUUGCUCCACUACAAGAUGGACCUGCGUUGUAUUAGCUAGUAGGUGAGGUAAUGGCUCACCUAGGCGACGAUACAUAGCCGACCUGAGAGGGUGAUCGGCCACACUGGGACUGAGACACGGCCCAGACUCCUACGGGAGGCAGCAGUAGGGAAUCUUCGGCAAUGGGGGCAACCCUGACCGAGCAACGCCGCGUGAGUGAAGAAGGUUUUCGGAUCGUAAAGCUCUGUUGUUGGUGAAGAAGGAUAGAGGUAGUAACUGGCCUUUAUUUGACGGUAAUCAACCAGAAAGUCACGGCUAACUACGUGCCAGCAGCCGCGGUAAUACGUAGGUGGCAAGCGUUGUCCG